ACGAACGCUGGCGGCGUGCUUCACACAUGCAAGUCGAACGGAAAGGCCUCUUUCGGGGGGUACUCGAGUGGCGAACGGGUGAGUAACACGUGAGUAACCUGCCCUUGACUUUGGGAUAACUUCAGGAAACUGGGGCUAAUACCGGAUAGGAGCUCCUGCUGCAUGGUGGGGGUUGGAAAGUUUCGGCGGUUGGGGAUGGACUCGCGGCUUAUCAGCUUGUUGGUGGGGUAGUGGCUUACCAAGGCUUUGACGGGUAGCCGGCCUGAGAGGGUGGCCGGCCACAUUGGGACUGAGAUACGGCCCAGACUCCUACGGGAGGCAGCAGUGGGGAAUAUUGCACAAUGGGUGGAAGCCUGAUGCAGCAACGCCGUGUGCGGGAUGACGGCCUUCGGGUUGUAAACCGCUUUCGCUCAUGACGAAGCUUUGUGUGACGGUAGUGGGUAAAGAAGCACCGGCUAACUACGUG
This 466-nucleotide ribosomal RNA is filed under the name uncultured bacterium. RNAcentral's name for it is "partial 16S ribosomal RNA". It matches the Rfam family "Bacterial small subunit ribosomal RNA", at positions 29 to 507 of the family's 1533-position model. The record is from RNAcentral.